Molecule: ribosomal RNA, 440 nt
Filed under: uncultured bacterium
Lineage: Bacteria
Description: partial 16S ribosomal RNA
Rfam family: Bacterial small subunit ribosomal RNA
Source: RNAcentral
CCUACGGGUGGCUGCAGUAGGGAAUGUGGCGCAAUGGGCGAAAGCCGGACGCAGCAACGCGGCGGGAUGGAGACGCCCUUGGGGGGGUAAAGAUCGGUAAGGGGGGACGAAACUUGACGGUACCCACAGAGGAAGCACCGGCUAACUCCGUGCCAGCAGCCGCGGUAAUACGGGGGGUGCAAGCGUUGUCCGGAAUCAUUGGGCGUAAAGAGUUCGUAGGCGGCACGUAAAGUCUGGUGUUAAAGGCAGAGGCUCAACUUCUGUACGGCACUGGAUACUUGCGAGCUAGAAUGCGGUAGAGGUAAAGGGAAUUCCUGGUGUAGCGGUGAAAUGCUUAGAUAUCAGGAGGAACAUCGGUGGCGUAAGCGCUUUACUGGGCCGUAAUUGACGCUGAGGAACGAAAGCCAGGGUAGCAAAUGGGAUUAGAUACCCUAGUAGUC